This is a long non-coding RNA of Bos indicus x Bos taurus (hybrid cattle), 1634 nucleotides long. The record is from Ensembl. Lineage: Eukaryota; Metazoa; Chordata; Mammalia; Artiodactyla; Bovidae.
UCGCCUUCAGCACAAACUGAAAAACAUUCACUUGAUCCUCCCUUGAAGCUGGCAAGAGGCAGGCUGGGAAUAUGCCACAGAAAGAAAAAAAAUGACCCUGCCAGAUUCUCCAGUUUCCAAAGUCAAGAAGAGAUCUGGUUGGUGCCCCAGAACUGACUGCCUACCAAACAGCCUGCAGAGAUGGCUCCGUUGUGCGGGGCGUGUCCACACCGGAACGCUUGGGACAGCUCCUGGUUGCCCACUAGGAGAGUCUGAGCCUGACUAUUUUUUGCCAAGUGGGUGGGAGAACACCAAAGCCUUUGACUGUGUGGAUCACAACAAACUGUGGAAAAUUCUUAAAACGAUGGGAAUAUCAGACCACCUGACCUGCCUCCUGAGAAAUCUGUAUGCAGAUCAAGAAGCAACAGCUAGAACUGGACAUGGAACAACAGACUGGUUCCAAAUUGGGAAAGGAGUAGGUCAAGGCUGUGUAUUGUCACCAUGCUUAUUUAACUUAUUUGCAGAGUACAUCAUGAGAAAUGCCAGGCUGGAAGAAGCACAAGCUGGAAUCAAGAUUGCUGGGAGAAAUAUCAAUAAUCUAAGAUACACAGGGAGAAGGAAAUGGCAAACCACUCCAGUAUUCUUGCCCAGAUAAUGCUGUGGACAGAGGAGCCAGGUGGGCUGCCAUCAAUGGGGUCGCACAGAGUUGGACUCAACUGAAGUGACUUAGCAGCAUCAGCAGCAGAUACACAGAUGACACCACCCUUAUCAGAAAGUGAAAAAGGAGAGUGAAAAAGUUGGCUUAAAACUCAACAUUCAGAAAACUAAGAUCAUGGCAUCUGGUUCCAUCACUUCAUGACAAAUGGAUGGGGAAACAAUGGAAACAGUGACAGACUUUAUUUUGGGGGGCUCCAAAAUCACUGCAGAUGGUGACUGCAGCCAUGAAAUUAAAAGAUGCUUGCUCACUGGAAGAAAAGCUAUGACCAACUUAGACAGCAUAUUAAAAAGCAGAGACAUUACUUUACCGACAAAGGUCUGUCUAGUCAAAGCUAUGGUUUUUCCAGUAGUCAUGUAUGAACAUGAGAGAUGGAUUAUAAAGAAAGCUGAGCACUGAAGAAUUGAUGCUUUCGAGCUGUGGUGUUGGAGAAGACUCCUGAGAGUCCCUUGGACUGCAAGGAGAUCAAACCAGUCAAUUCUAAAGGAAAUCAUCCUGAAUAUUCAUUGGAAGGACUGAAGCUGAAACUCCAAUACUUUGGCCACCUGAUGCGAAAAACUGACUCACUGGAAAAGACCCUGAUGUUGGGAAAGGUUGAAGGCGGGAGGAGACGGGGAUGACAGAGGUUGAGAUGGUUGAAUGGCAUCACUGACUUGAUGGACAUGAGUUUGAGCAAGCUUUGGGAGUUGGUGAUGGACAGGGAAGCCUGGCGUGCUGCAAUCCAUGGGGUCGGACACGACUGAGUGACUGAACUGAACUGAACUGAACUGGGAUGGGAGCUUUUAGGAGGGAAGAAGCAUGGAGGUGACUUUUCUUGGGGUGUCCUAAUGACAGUGACCAGAAUCUCAAGGGGUGUUUUCAGAUUCCACAAUAUAAUGAGAGAAAAGGAACCAACUCCUUAAAUGAAGAACUUGCAGUCACCUUGAUCCAGGUACACGUG